GUAUGGAUCCUCCUUCUCAGAAAUCCCAGAAACAUUCCUGCUUUUGAGCUAUGUGCAAAAUAAAUCUGGGAAUAAAAAAAAAAAAAAGCCUUCCGAGCAGAGAGGAACAAGAGACAAAGAGAUGUGUGUCUCAGCAAGACUUCCACAGAGAAGCCUCAACCUGUGUGCAAGGUGAAAAAGAAUAACAGGGUGACGUCAGCAUUGGCUGGGGAUGGGCAAGGGAGGGCCCUUUUCAUCACAGUCUGGCACAGAAACACAAGGCUUCAGCAGAGGGAGGAAGUACAGAUCCUUACUUCAGAAAUAUAAAUCCUUUUUUAAUAAGUGACUGAAAUGGUCAUUUGGAAACAGAUUACAAAACAUUUCUAACAAGCUUAUCAUGUGAAUUUCUGGUGCAAUCAUCCCCCCCUCUGUUUUCUGCAGACCUUACAUUUCCUGGGAAGGAGGAACUCUGUGCUGUCCCCAUGGAAUGGGAAGGACUUGGAUGCUUCACUAGGGCUUCUCUCUUCACCCCUCAUGAGCAGAGAUACUGAUCUUCAGUGCUGGUCCCAGAGGAAAAUUCACAAUUGGACAUCAGAGUGACCACAGAUGACAAAUGCAACAGCUUAUGGGAAAUGGAAUGUGAAAUAUCUUCAGAGGGGCAGCUUCUCUGGGUACUCAAACCAGGGCUAAGACACCUCGGAUUUAAGGUAAUAGCUACUAUAACUUUCUGAAAAUGAAGACCCUUUCCCUCUUUUGCCUUUUUUAUUCUUGCAAGUAUUUGCUACCCCAUCAUUAGGAUGCCUUUUUUGUUCUUUUACUCCUGAUCGAUGGCUCAGAGUUAUUUGUUUAGUCAUUAUUUUUAGUUUUGUGCGUGGCUGUUUGUCUGUUUAUUGAAAUGAACUGCCAUCCGGGCACCCUGAUCAAAGCAAAAGGCAUGAAAUCCCACGUGUUGCCCUUUUGAGAGCAACAACAAUGAAGCUAACCUUUCACCCUUGACUUUCUUUUAACCCUAAUUUUGAAAGACAGUAGCAAACAAUUCAGCUAACUUAAGUAAAAGAAUAUUCAAACUAGCUCGAUUGUAAUGCAGUGCUCCUUUCAAGUGAAUGGAAGGUCUGGAGUAAUGCAUGCAAGCACAGAGGCUGGGUAAGUUCAUUACUUUGGAGUUUCUGGUGCAGUAAUAGCAGUGAAAUGGUUAAAAGGCUGACUUUAAAGUGGUCACAAUUAGGCUUCAAAGUUAACACCCCACCCCACUGAGAUGAAUGGGAGCAGUUGACAUUUCUCAGUGCUAUUGUUUCAGUCUGGCUUGCUAUAGCUUCUAAAAUAAGACAACAGUACAUCUGUUUACAUUCUGCUUCCGCGAACCCAGAUGGGCUAGAAACUUCAUUGUUUGUUAAGUGGAAGCUUGGAUUCUGGAGAAUACAGCAAUAUCCACAGGGUAUCUGUAGGAAGAAGAGCCGAAAGCCGCCUUAAUCACAGACAUCUCCCCCUUCUCUAUAAACUUCCAUUGUCCCAGGACAAAUCUGUAAACCACAGGGGGAAAAAUAAAGUCAUAUAUAUUUGAAGUACUUUUUGCUUACAACAUGACAUGCCCACAAUGACUUCUCAUCAAGUCCCUAGCAUGCAAAUUUUCAUGGAUGUGGUGUUUUGAACUUUUUUCUCUUUUAGUAGUUUGUAGGAGGUAAAGGUCCUGCAUUUUACUGAAUGUGGUAGCUUCUCUUAAGCCUCUCCUAAAAGAAAAUUCUUCUGUCUCUAGAGAAGCCGGGGUUCCACCCAGGAGUGUUUGAGACCAGGUGUCACUUUGAGUUCAUAUGGGUAGAAUCCUUGAAUUUAUUUCUGAGGCUGUUAACAGAAGAAAGAUUUUUGAGAGGAAGGUUUUGUGUUUUCCCGAUACUUUCAUACGGGCAGCCACAUUGACUGGGGUAAGAUUCUAGGAGCUGGAAUGGAUUAAUAAAGGUGCAAGUGGGGCCAGAAUUUGGAGCAGAUGGUCUCUAUUACCCCAUGCCUCAGUUCAUGUAGGGAGAGCACACUGUCCUCUCAGACUUUUGCUGAGGGGUCUGCACAGUGGCAAAGUGCCCUCAGCAGCAGCCAGAGCCCUGUGAGAGCUCCUCUGAUAAAAGAGACCCAUUAGAUAUGCUCAGGCUGUAGAUUGAAACCAGCUGGGAAUCUGUCGGGAAGAUUUUCCUCAUUGUGCUUUCACGGGGUGGAAAGUUUGCGGCUUGUUUUGCAUAAAUGUGUAUUUUGGGCUUCCUUGCUCUGACUUGGUGAGUCCCAGAGCCUGCCAGUGAUAAGAGCUCUCAUGCAUACAGGCUCCUUUGUACCCUGGCACUCAGAGAUCCUGCUUUCCUUUUGCCCAUGGACAGCACAGCUUGUGCUUUGGAAGUGCUGUUGUGGGCUCUCCCAAAUGGUGUCUCCCAGGUUUCAACCCUGGCUGAGUUGGAUGGUGAAGGCAGGCGUGCAAUCUGGGGUUUGGGCUCCUGACACUUGCUUCCUGCCCAACUGCAAGCUGCAUUCUGUUCUGACUAUAGAAUGCAGUGGCCCUGAGCCCUGACAGGCCACCAGGUUGUCUGAGACAGCUGUGGCCAUU
This is a long non-coding RNA of Serinus canaria (Common canary), 2563 nucleotides long. RefSeq lists it as uncharacterized. The transcript is spliced from 4 exons. The record is from RefSeq and is a predicted model, not a curated record. Lineage: Eukaryota; Metazoa; Chordata; Aves; Passeriformes; Fringillidae.